Molecule: ribosomal RNA, 601 nt
Filed under: Exocelina aubei
Lineage: Eukaryota; Metazoa; Arthropoda; Insecta; Coleoptera; Dytiscidae
Description: partial 16S ribosomal RNA
Rfam family: Bacterial large subunit ribosomal RNA (bases 358-516)
Source: RNAcentral
CCUGCCCACUGAAAUUUUUAAUGGCCGCAGUAAUUUGACUGUGCAAAGGUAGCAUAAUCAUUAGUUUUUUAAUUAAAAGCUUGUAUGAAUGGUUGGACGAGGUAAAAUCUGUCUUUAUUUAAAUAAUAUUAGAAUUUAAUUUUUAAGUUAAAAAGCUUAAAUUUAUAUAAAAGACGAGAAGACCCUAUAGAUCUUUAUAUUUUAAAAUAUAAUUUUAAUAAAGAAUAUUUAAUUUUUUAUAUUUUAUAUUAUUUUAUUGGGGUAAUAAAAAGAUUAAAUUAAUUCUUUUUGAUAUUUUACAUUGAUUAAUGAAUUUAUGAUCCAAUAUUUUUGAUUAUAAGAUUAAGUUACCUUAGGGAUAACAGCGUAAUUUUUUUUGAGAGUUCAUAUCGAUAAAAAAGUUUGCGACCUCGAUGUUGGAUUAAAAAUUGUUUUAGGCGCAGAAGUUUAAAAAUUUGGUCUGUUCGACCAUUAAAUUUUUACAUGAUCUGAGUUCAGACCGGUGUAAGCCAGGUCGGUUUCUAUCUUUAUAAUUUUAUAAUAUUUUAGUACGAAAGGACCAAAUAUUUAAUAUAUUAAUAUUUAUAUUUUGAAUAUUAUU